GUCUACAGCCAUGCCACCCUGAACAAGCCCAAUCCCAUCUGAUCUCGGAAGUUAAGCAGGAUCGGGCCUGGAUAGUACUUGGAUGGGACGCCACCUAGGAACACCAGGUGCUGUAGGUG
This 119-nucleotide ribosomal RNA is filed under the name Pteropus alecto (black flying fox). The record is from RNAcentral. Lineage: Eukaryota; Metazoa; Chordata; Mammalia; Chiroptera; Pteropodidae.